GUAUGCCUUAUUUUUUAAAAAAACCUAAUUAUACAGCAUACAUUAGUAAUCACUUGCUAAAAAUAUAGCAGCAGUUAUUAUAAGCAAGAAUUAUAUGCAGCUCCUUGCUAUGAGAUUAGUAACAAUAUCUCUAGGAAUAAUAAAAACGGAAAUUCAGUCAUGGGAAAUCUGCCAAGAUAUGGUGGUUUCCUUCUAAAAAAUAAAAGCCGUGGAUGUUGAAAUGAGAUUAAACUUGCAGCCAAGUACUCCCAUACUCUGAUUUGCUCAAUAUUUCCAGGAGCUCCUUCCUUAAAACAUUGAUUCGCAGGUCAACUAUGAUAAAAAAUUUACAGGUUAGCCUAUGCCCUAAUUACAUUUUUAUAAUUUAGAGGAAAACAACUGGUUGACUUUUGUUUAUGUAACAGACACUUUAAGGGAAAUCGAUUGUUUCUGUGACCAUUAAGCAUCAAACACUUCUCCCAUCAGUCAUACUCUUAAUUUCCCAACAACGACACUGCAGAAACCCUCUACAGGGAUGUUACUUAUAGUCAACACUAAAACAUGGCCUUAAUAGACAAAUCACACUUUGACAGGUCUAAACAUUCAGUUCUAGCAUCUGCAUCUCAAAUACCACAAACUCCCACAUGAAAAGAGUAGUCUUGUGAGACUAUAGUGUUGGUAAUCACAAGUCCUAGGUUUAACUUCCUCGAACUAUAAUGCACAGCCAAGCCGUUUGCAGGUGGUUGGCUCAUCCUUAGCUAUUACUGCUAUACUGGUGUUGAGUGAACUGUUUUAUGGUGCAGCUUGCAUUUCCCAUUUCUCCUUUUCAUUUGCCUUAUUUUCAUUAAUUACAACUCAUUUUUCCUUUUCUCCUUGUCUUCUUCAAGGAAAGUCAGCACUUCCCCAUCAAAGAAUUGCUACUGGUGCAGAGAACUGUUUUGUGGCACAACUUUCACUUACCCCCUCUACUUUCCCAUUUCCUCAUUUCUGUAAAUUAACUUUUUUUUAGCCAACAGGACCGCUCAUAUUAGGAAAGGCAAAAUAACAUCAUUCUCUGAUCCAAUCCACAUGGAUCAACCAAUGAAGUGAUAUAUUCUCCUAUACCAAAUUUCCAAUGUUGCACCUUUUUUUUUUUAAUCUCAUAUCAUAUUUCUCAAGUUACAAUCUGAUUUGGUGGAUUUGAAUAAGAACUGAUA
Molecule: unclassified non-coding RNA, 1175 nt
Filed under: Hevea brasiliensis (rubber tree)
Lineage: Eukaryota; Viridiplantae; Streptophyta; Magnoliopsida; Malpighiales; Euphorbiaceae
Source: RNAcentral